This 2654-nucleotide long non-coding RNA is filed under the name Selaginella moellendorffii. RNAcentral's name for it is "long non-coding RNA (SMOE_LNC002368)". The record is from RNAcentral. Lineage: Eukaryota; Viridiplantae; Streptophyta; Lycopodiopsida; Selaginellales; Selaginellaceae.
ACAAGUAUGAAUCGCCGCCGCCACCACCAUACAAGUAUGAAUCGCCUCCUCCACCACCAUAUAAGUACGAAUCGCCACCGCCACCACCAUACAAGUACGAGUCGCCUCCUCCACCUCCGUACAAGUAUGAAUCGCCUCCUCCCCCACCAUACUACUACAAAUCACCACCACCACCUCCUUACAAGUAUGAAUCUCCCCCUCCACCUCCAUAUUACUACAAAUCUCCACCCCCGCCACCACCUUACUACUACAAAUCACCACCACCACCUUCUCCUGUCUACAAAUAUAAAUCUCCACCACCACCACCUUACAAGUACGAAUCUCCUCCUCCACCUCCAUACUAUUACAAGUCUCCACCACCACCGCCGUAUUACUACAAGUCUCCACCACCACCACCUCCAGUUUACAAAUACAAAUCUCCUCCUCCGCCACCAUAUUACUACAAAUCACCACCUCCUCCAUCACCAGUAUAUUACUACAAAUCUCCUCCUCCACCAGCGUAUUACUACAAAUCUCCCCCACCGCCUGUCUACUAUUACAAAUCCCCGCCACCUCCAGCUUACCACUACCAAUCGCCACCCCCACCAAGUUACAAGCUGGUAGUGGUCACGGGCAAGGUCUAUUGCAACAGAUGCUGGAACACCACAAGCAGAUACCUUCAGGCAUCACCACAUGGGUCUGCUAGGUACAUUCUCAAUUGCAUUGUAUUCGAUAUUGUUCUCCUCACUCAUUUCCUCUUGAUACUGUGUGCAAUAAUGCAGGUGGCAAAGUGAAGAUCACAUGUGGCGAAUCUUACUACUACGGCUACACCAACAAGCAUGGAAUCUUUAGAAUUGAGCUCCCGCACCAAUCCUGGGAAGAAGCAAGCAGCUGCAAGGCCAAGAUUAUCAAGAGCAGCUACAUCAAGUCGUCAUGCAAUGUCAUCACGGACUACAGGUCUGGUGCAACAGGGGCCAAGCUCAAGUUCAAAUCGAAAACAGAGAAGGAGCUCGUCUUGACAGCCGGUCCUUUCAUCUAUGCAACUCCAGAGCCAUCGUCAGUCUGCUUCUACACAUCACCUCCCUAUGAGUACAAGUCACCUCCGCCACCAACACCGGUCUACCAUUACGCCUCUCCGCCACCUCCGGUCUACUACUACAAAUCGCCACCUCCUCCUUCACCGGUUUACUACUACAAAUCCCCUCCUCCUCCUUCGCCGGUCUACUAUUACAAAUCCCCGCCUCCACCACCAUACUAUUACAAGUCCCCACCUCCACCUCCGCCUAAGUAUUACUACAAGUCGCCCCCACCACCGUCUCCAUACUAUUACAAAUCCCCGCCCCCUCCACCGUACUAUUACAAAUCCCCACCACCACCUCCCUACAAAUACGAAUCGCCGCCGCCUCCUCCUUACAAAUACGAGUCCCCACCUCCACCACCUUACUAUUACAAGUCCCCACCACCACCUCCAUACAAAUAUGAAUCCCCGCCACCUCCAGUCUACAAAUAUGAGUCUCCGCCACCCCCAGUUUACAAAUACAAGUCGCCACCACCACCAUACAAGUACGAGUCACCACCACCACCUCCAUACAAGUAUGAAUCCCCGCCACCUCCACCUUAUUACUACAAGUCCCCUCCACCACCACCAUACAAGUACGAGUCGCCACCACCUCCUCCGUACAAGUAUGAAUCUCCACCACCACCAGUUUACAAAUACAAGUCACCUCCGCCGCCACCUUAUUACUACAAAUCCCCACCGCCACCUCCAUACAAGUACGAGUCUCCACCUCCUCCUCCGUACAAGUAUGAAUCUCCACCACCACCACCUUAUUACUACAAAUCCCCCCCGCCACCUCCAUACAAGUACGAGUCACCGCCUCCUCCUCCGUACAAGUAUGAAUCUCCACCACCGCCAGUUUACAAAUACAAGUCACCCCCGCCACCACCUUAUUACUACAAAUCCCCGCCACCACCUCCAUACAAGUACGAGUCUCCACCUCCUCCUCCGUACAAGUAUGAAUCUCCACCACCACCUCCUUAUUACUACAAAUCCCCGCCGCCACCUCCCUACAAGUAUGAAUCCCCGCCACCACCUCCCUACAAAUACGAGUCACCUCCACCACCACCUUACUAUUACAAAUCUCCUCCACCGCCUCCAUACAAGUAUGAGUCGCCACCACCACCAGUCUACAAAUACGAGUCUCCGCCACCCCCAGUUUACAAAUACAAGUCGCCCCCUCCACCUUAUUACUACAAGUCUCCGCCACCCCCGCCAUACAAAUAUGAAUCCCCACCUCCACCUCCCUACAAGUAUGAAUCGCCUCCUCCUCCACCUUACUACUACAAGUCCCCUCCACCACCUCCCUACAAAUAUGAAUCCCCGCCACCACCUCCCUAUAAAUACGAGUCACCACCACCACCACCUUACUAUUACAAAUCUCCUCCACCGCCUCCAUACAAGUAUGAGUCGCCACCACCACCUCCCUACAAAUACGAGUCACCACCACCACCACCUUACAAGUAUGAAUCCCCACCUCCACCUCCGUACAAGUAUGAAUCACCUCCACCGCCUCCAUACAAGUAUGAAUCCCCUCCUCCACCUCCCUACAAAUACGAGUCACCACCCCCACCACCUUAUUACUACAAAUCGCCUCCGCCACCGGAGUAUCAAUCAC